UACGGAGGGUGCAAGCGUUGCUCGGAAUUAUUGGGCGUAAAGGGUAGGUAGGUGGUCUCAUUUGUCUGGGGUGAAAGCCUUGAGCUUAACUCAAGAAGUGCCCCAGAAACGGUGAGACUGGAGUCCUGGAGAGGGUCGUGGAAUUCCCGGUGUAGCGGUGAAAUGCGUAGAGAUCGGGAGGAACACCAGAGGCGAAGGCGGCGACCUGGACAGGUACUGACACUCAACUACGAAAGCGUGGGGAGCAAACAGG
This 253-nucleotide ribosomal RNA is filed under the name uncultured bacterium. RNAcentral describes it as "partial 16S ribosomal RNA". It matches the Rfam family "Bacterial small subunit ribosomal RNA", at positions 524 to 776 of the family's 1533-position model. The record is from RNAcentral.